This 211-nucleotide unclassified non-coding RNA is filed under the name Hevea brasiliensis (rubber tree). Lineage: Eukaryota; Viridiplantae; Streptophyta; Magnoliopsida; Malpighiales; Euphorbiaceae. The record is from RNAcentral.
AUGGAGGUGGAUCUUUCAAAACCUUAUCCACUUGCUCUGUACCUUUGAUCUCUUCAACAGACUCUCUCACUGUCUGUCCCCCCUCAUCACUAGCAUUGGCCGCCUGCAUUACGCAUUCUGAUGUAUCCCAACGUUCAGAAGAAUGGUUUGCACUGAGGAGGGACAAACUGACCACAAGCACCUUUAGUACUGCCUUGGGUUUUUGGAAGGG